GUUUCGAAUGGGUUGCAGCUUUCCCUCGCUCUUGGGCUUCUCCUUGUCUUUUGGCCGAUGAACCUGGCGAAGAUCUGACUUACUGGAUCGCAUUCUGAGGUCUUUUCCUUCUCUCUUGGUUCCAGAGGCCUCUUGCUGUCCUGGGCUAUACGAGUACACAGCUCUGGGUAAUCCAGACAAACAGCACGCAGCAACCAGCGAAGGCCUCGUAGAGUCUUUCUGUCCGACCAACGUCGCAGGUCCAUUAAGGCUGAACAAGGCUCCUGAGAGGGAAAGAAAAAAGCAGAUCAGCAAGAACCCCCUUGACCUCCUUUAUCCUCUGCCUGUCACUGGAGUCCACCACAAAGAUUAUCCCAUGGGCCUCUCUAUAGAGCUCCCUCCAGGUUCCUCUCGACUCUGCUGAUCCUCCCACAUCCAACAAGGUGACCAAGUAGUUCUCUACUCGGAGCUCAUUUCGGAUGCAGCCCUGGGUGGGUCCUGCUUCCCCACCAUGGGGGACUGAAAAUACAUGAAGUGAAACACAGCUGGGUCAUUUGUGUGUUUCUUUUUUAAGCACUUCAAGAGAUAAAACCGUUUUAAAGUCACUGUUGAAUUACCUCUUAACAUGCCUCUGAUGCAAGAUGUUUUUCCUGCUUUGUCAAGACCAACCACCAGAAUGGUCAUUUUCCUGCAAAGAAAUAUGCAGUUUUCACUUGAAUGAGCAGCAUAUUGCUUUAGAUGACAGCUCAAUGUUUUAGCAACCGGAAAGCAGGAAGCAUCAAUGAAAAGUACAUGACAUGCAAAUUCAUGUUAUACAAAACUACCAAAAGAAAGAGGAAGAUGCAAUUUUGAUUUGUCUAACUUUCUCUGUACAAAUGCUUGCUCACUUUUGUUUGUAUUAAGUCACGUUCAGACCAGUUCCUAUGAGCAGAGAAAUGUCUGCACCUAACCACACUAGGAUUUAUUUUAUUUCAAAUAUAGUGAAUGUAGGAGGUUUCAUUGUGGUUGCUGUUGCCCAGCUUUGCGAUUAGGCUUGUUAUUUUUUGGAAAUAAGUUUUGCCAAAAUCAGCCCAUGAAUCACCGAUCACAUUUUUUCAGACUCAUUAUACUUUUCACUCAUUUUUCACGCAAUGCAUU
Micropterus salmoides (largemouth bass) is the source of this 1116-nucleotide long non-coding RNA. RefSeq lists it as uncharacterized. The transcript is spliced from 3 exons. NCBI's taxonomy places the organism in Eukaryota, Metazoa, Chordata, Actinopteri, Centrarchiformes, Centrarchidae. The record is from RefSeq and is a predicted model, not a curated record.